Long non-coding RNA from Empidonax traillii (willow flycatcher), 303 nucleotides. RefSeq lists it as uncharacterized. Lineage: Eukaryota; Metazoa; Chordata; Aves; Passeriformes; Tyrannidae. The transcript has 3 exons. The record is from RefSeq and is a predicted model, not a curated record.
CUGGCGCUAUGAAGUGCCUCUGCGCUCUGGUGCUCUGUGUUGACAGGCUUUUUAUGGUGUGGUAACAAAAGAGCUAGGAGAGGGGAUGAGGGAGAAAGCAGUGGGAUGGGAGGUGCCACAGCAGAGAACUAAUCCUUUAAGGAGACUCCAGAUUGUUUAAUGCAGCAACAGGAGGAAAAUAGUUUAUUAGAUUUCACCAUUGAAGCAAAGAAGAAAUAUUCCAGUUGCCUUUUAACUUUGGAAAUUAAUUUAUAAAGAAACUAAGAAGUCUUCUUUCCCCAGUGUGUGCGCCUCUAUUCACCU